UCCAAUUUUGCUGAUCACGCACGCAAUUUUUCCUCUCUAACUUUCCCACGGGUGUUGCUGUACGUGUUUUCAAAGUUCCCGGCUUACCCACCCUCUAGAAUGUGCCAUGACCUUACCUACACAAUAAGGUGAAAAGCAUGCCUGAUAUCUCACAAACACCACCUUUGGAAUUCGGCGCUUCUUGUUCUUCUGCAUAUUUUCGCCCAAUCUCUCUAUGACACAUCGUUUCUGACAGACCACACCCAAAGUUUGUACCCAGGUGUUUGGAACUAUUUUGAUAAAAGCCAUGCCAUUAUACCCUGAAGAUUAUUGUUGAACAACACGUUUUGCACAUUUUGGAAACGAUCACUUAUAUUCUGGUAUUCCUCACCUUAGCGUUUUUACAGACGCUCGUAUGACGACUCCAUAUUGUUGUUAAUGGUGUGCGCGAAGUGUGUAUAAUUGGGGUUGGGACUGAAAUCACGCUGUCAGUGCCCAUUUUAUACCUGUGCGUCGCCUGGAGCUAAAGUCAGCAUUGAACCGGCGUGGUCAGGAAUGUGCAGUAUUCUGGGGUGACAGGAGUGGCGUUGUCAUGACUCGUGAAUCUCUUCUCUAACUUGGACUGACCGCUGUUCAGAGGAGAUCAUCAGUUCUCAGCAGAACGUGUUCAACAGGAGAACAAAGAUGGCGGAUCCGGACAUUCUGACCUUCAUCGUCACCGCCUGUCUUAUCUCACAAUACAACACUGCAGAUGCCGCUGCACUCGAUGUGACUCUCUUGAGCUCCAAACAUUUUCUGGAUGACUCGUCCGUGACGGAGUUUCUGUGCCGAGCGCCAGUGAACACCAUCACACAGCACAGCUUCCCAUCUGAGUCACCCAACUCCAGGCCGAUCAAGAGGGAGGGUGGAACAGGGCCGGGAAAUCCGUUUACUGUAGCCUCAAGCGAAAGGGUAAUUUGGACUUAUGAGAAUGAUAUUUCUUUAGACAUUUAAAGCUAACACAAAUACUUGA
This is a long non-coding RNA of Branchiostoma floridae (Florida lancelet), 991 nucleotides long. RefSeq lists it as uncharacterized. Lineage: Eukaryota; Metazoa; Chordata; Leptocardii; Amphioxiformes; Branchiostomatidae. The transcript is spliced from 3 exons. The record is from RefSeq and is a predicted model, not a curated record.